This 436-nucleotide ribosomal RNA is filed under the name uncultured bacterium. RNAcentral's name for it is "bacterial SSU rRNA". It matches the Rfam family "Bacterial small subunit ribosomal RNA", at positions 29 to 507 of the family's 1533-position model. The record is from RNAcentral.
AGCGAACGCUGGCGGCAUGCCUAACACAUGCAAGUCGAGCGCUCCCAGCAAUGGGGGAGCGGCGGACGGGUGAGUAACGCGUAGGAACGUAUCCUGAGGUGGGGGAUAACCCUGGGAAACUAGGGCUAAUACCGCAUGAUGGCGAGAGCCCAAAGAUUUAUCGCCUUGGGAGCGGCCUGCGUCUGAUUAGCUUGUUGGUGGGGUAACGGCCUACCAAGGCGAUGAUCAGUAGCUGGUCUGAGAGGAUGAUCAGCCACACUGGGACUGAGACACGGCCCAGACUCCUACGGGAGGCAGCAGUGGGGAAUAUUGGACAAUGGGCGAAAGCCUGAUCCAGCAAUGCCGCGUGGAUGAAGAAGGUCUUCGGAUUGUAAAGUCCUUUUCGGCGGGGACGAUGAUGACGGUACCCGCAGAAGAAGCCCCGGCUAACUUCGUG